GAAAUUCUUGGUCCAAUAGGCAAUAGGCGUGCACUUAAGGACUCCAUUUUGUACACUCUGUGCCUAACGAGUGGUCAUUGUCAUUUGUUUAGCAGAAAAGCAAACCAUCAUUGACACAUGCAUCAUAUCUUCUCCAGGGUGUCUGCGGUCUCUGGCUCCUGCUGUAUGUAUAUCCGUAAGGUCUUCUUCUUCCAAAUCUGGUAAAACUGUCGUCGC
RNAcentral lists this long non-coding RNA (216 nucleotides) under Mytilus galloprovincialis (Mediterranean mussel). The record is from RNAcentral. Lineage: Eukaryota; Metazoa; Mollusca; Bivalvia; Mytilida; Mytilidae.